This 621-nucleotide ribosomal RNA is filed under the name uncultured bacterium. RNAcentral's name for it is "bacterial SSU rRNA". It matches the Rfam family "Bacterial small subunit ribosomal RNA", at positions 338 to 953 of the family's 1533-position model. The record is from RNAcentral.
CCUACGGGAGGCAGCAGUGGGGAAUUUUGGACAGUGGGCGAAAGCCUGAUCCAGCAAUGCCGCGUGAGUGAAGAAGGCCUUCGGGUUGUAAAGCUCUUUUGUCAGGGAAGAAACGGUGAGAGCUAAUAUCUCUUGCUAAUGACGGUACCUGAAGAAUAAGCACCGGCUAACUACGUGCCAGCAGCCGCGGUAAUACGUAGGGUGCAAGCGUUAAUCGGAAUUACUGGGCGUAAAGCGUGCGCAGGCGGUUUUGUAAGUCUGAUGUGAAAUCCCCGGGCUCAACCUGGGAAUUGCAUUGGAGACUGCAAGGCUAGAAUCUGGCAGAGGGGGGUAGAAUUCCACGUGUAGCAGUGAAAUGCGUAGAUAUGUGGAGGAACACCGAUGGCGAAGGCAGCCCCCUGGGUCAAGAUUGACGCUCAUGCACGAAAGCGUGGGGAGCAAACAGGAUUAGAUACCCUGGUAGUCCACGCCCUAAACGAUGUCUACUAGUUGUCGGGUCUUAAUUGACUUGGUAACGCAGCUAACGCGUGAAGUAGACCGCCUGGGGAGUACGGUCGCAAAGAUUAAAACCGCAAAGAGAGUAGAGNGNGAGAGNGACGACGGACGACGAGAGGGAGGAGG